CAGAGUCUGCCCCUGCACACUCACACACGAAUAUCGCUUCGAAAAACAACGCUGACAUCGAAAGUCAACCAAGAUGAAGGCCGUUCUGAUCCUUUUCACCCUGGCAGCUUCCGCGCUCGCUUAUUUCGAUGUAGAGAACAUGAAGAGUGAUGACGGAUGGACAUGUGGGAUAACAUACGAUAACGAAAGUAAUGAGGUCUACACCAGCUCCAAGUACGUGGAGAGGGACGGGCUUUUGACCUUCGUGAGAAUGUUAGGAUGCCUUGAGGAGAGGAGGAUCGGAACCCCAACUGGAGAAGAUUUCCAAGAAGGUGGUCUCGGGUCCCCCACAAUCAGGUGGCGAACAUGUAGCGACCCAACUGGUAUCUGUACCGGCGAAAUCUGGGAGAUGAAUCAAAAUUAAGCAGACAGACCAAUUUUUGUAAUUUUGAGAACUGGAAUGUUUGUUAUGAAAUAUGGCAAAAAAGUUUCUCACUAUUAUACUGA
Lineus longissimus is the source of this 486-nucleotide long non-coding RNA. RefSeq lists it as uncharacterized. NCBI's taxonomy places the organism in Eukaryota, Metazoa, Nemertea, Pilidiophora, Heteronemertea, Lineidae. The record is from RefSeq and is a predicted model, not a curated record. The transcript has 3 exons.